This 468-nucleotide ribosomal RNA is filed under the name uncultured bacterium. RNAcentral describes it as "partial 16S ribosomal RNA". It matches the Rfam family "Bacterial small subunit ribosomal RNA", at positions 28 to 507 of the family's 1533-position model. The record is from RNAcentral.
GACGAACGCUGGCGGCGUGCUUAACACAUGCAAGUCGAACGGAAAGGCCCUGCGUUUGUGGGGUGCUCGAGUGGCGAACGGGUGAGUAACACGUGAGUAACCUGCCCUUGACUGUGGGAUAACUUCAGGAAACUGGGGCUAAUACCGGAUAGGAGCUCCUGCUGCAUGGUGGGGGUUGGAAAGUUUCGGCGGUUGGGGAUGGACUCGCGGCUUAUCAGCUUGUUGGUGGGGUAGUGGCUUACCAAGGCUUUGACGGGUAGCCGGCCUGGGAGGGUGACCGGCCACAUUGGGACUGAGAGACGGCCCAGAGUGCUACGGGGGGCAGCAGUGGGGAAUAUUGCACAAUGGGCGGAAGCCUGAUGCAGCAACGCCGCGUGCGGGAUGACGGCCUUCGGGUUGUAAACCGCUUGCGCCUGUGACGAAGCGUGAGUGACGGUAACGGGUAAAGAAGCACCGGCUAACUACGUG